UAUGGGAGGGAUCAAGAGGGUGCUAGACUCGGCCUGAAGUAUUUAUUGAAUGUUGUCACACUGCCCAUAGAGGGUGUAAGGCCCGUAAGGCCGGCGUCUAGAUUACCUCGCUGGUUCCUCUCGAGAGUCGGGUUGCUUGAAAGUGCAGCCCUAAGUAGGUGGUAAACUCCAUCUAAGGCUAAAUAUUCCCACGAGACCGAUAGCGAACAAGUACCGCGAGGGAAAGUUGAAAAGAACUUUGAAAAGAGAGUUCAAUAGAGCGUGAAACUACCACGAGGCUAAAGCGAGUGAGCGUACGUAUCCGAACGGUUUGAUUCAGUCCGCCCGAGCACGAUGAGCAGUGGGGGGUCGUAAUACGUCAUUAACGGAUCUCCCGAAAGGAUCCGAGCUUUACGCUCGGCCUCUAGGGUGACCGGCGUAUCCUCCGCUUUGCUCUGUAGGGGGACGCAUUUCCGGCCGAAGUAGGGCGUCGCGGCCGUUUCGGGGGUGUCUAAGACACGGGGGUCUUGGAAUCCGCAUCUUCUCGUCCCGGCGCGCUCUACCGCCUCGCCUUCGCGGAGGGGCGGCAUCACGCCGGGGUCGCGAGUCGAGCGGGGCCGCCUCGUUGAUCUGACGGCCUC
RNAcentral lists this ribosomal RNA (620 nucleotides) under Paraplatyarthrus sp. 5 MJ-2016. RNAcentral describes it as "eukaryotic LSU rRNA". It matches the Rfam family "Eukaryotic large subunit ribosomal RNA", at positions 151 to 628 of the family's 3401-position model. Lineage: Eukaryota; Metazoa; Arthropoda; Malacostraca; Isopoda; Paraplatyarthridae. The record is from RNAcentral.